RNAcentral lists this transfer RNA (73 nucleotides) under Trichonephila inaurata madagascariensis. It matches the Rfam family "tRNA". Rfam says of the family: Transfer RNA (tRNA) molecules are approximately 80 nucleotides in length. Their secondary structure includes four short double-helical elements and three loops (D, anti-codon, and T loops). Further hydrogen bonds mediate the characteristic L-shaped molecular structure. tRNAs have two regions of fundamental functional importance: the anti-codon, which is responsible for specific mRNA codon recognition, and the 3' end, to which the tRNAs corresponding amino acid is attached (by aminoacyl-tRNA synthetases). tRNAs cope with the degeneracy of the genetic code in two manners: having more than one tRNA (with a specific anti-codon) for a particular amino acid; and 'wobble' base-pairing, i.e. permitting non-standard base-pairing at the 3rd anti-codon position. Lineage: Eukaryota; Metazoa; Arthropoda; Arachnida; Araneae; Nephilidae. The record is from Rfam by way of RNAcentral.
GUCCCUGUAGCGCAAUUUAUAGCGCGUUGGACUUCUAAUCCAAAUGUUGUUGGUUCGAAUCCUACCAGGGACG